GAAAUGCGAUACGUAGUGUGAAUUGCAGAAUUCAGUGAAUCAUCGAAUCUUUGAACGCACAUUGCGCCCUUUGGUAUUCCAAAGGGCAUGCCUGUUCGAGCGUCAUUUGUACCCUCAAGCUUUGCUUGGUGUUGGGCGUUUUUGUCUUUGGCCCGCCAAAGACUCGCCUUAAAAUGAUUGGCAGCCGGCCUACUGGUUUCGCAGCGCAGCACAUUUUUGCGCUUGCAAUCAGCAAAAGAGGACGGCAAUCCAUCAAGACUCCUUCUCACGUUUGACCUCGGAUCAGGUAGGGAUACCCGCUGAACUUAA
Molecule: unclassified non-coding RNA, 309 nt
Filed under: uncultured Pleosporales
Lineage: Eukaryota; Fungi; Ascomycota; Dothideomycetes; Pleosporales
Also listed under: 1 other name
Description: sequence contains ITS1
Rfam family: 5.8S ribosomal RNA (bases 1-105)
Source: RNAcentral